GAUGAACGCUGGCGGCGUGCCUAAUACAUGCAAGUCGAACGAACACACGAUGAGCUUGCUCCUCUGCCGUUAGCGGCUGGCGGGUGAGUAACACGUGGAUAACCUUCCUCUUUUUCUUGGAUAACUUCGUAAGACCGCUUCUAAUACCGGAUCAUAUAUUGAACCGCAUGGUUCAAUAGUUAUACACGCUUUUGCUGUCACUUAUAGCUGGAUCCGCGUCGCAUUAGCUAGUUGGUAAGGUAACGGCUUACCAAGGCAACGAUGCGUAGCCGACCUGAGAGGAUGAUCAGCCACACUGGAACUGAGACACGGUCCAGACUCCUACGGGAGGCAGCAGUGGGGAAUAUUCGGCAAUGGGCGAAAGCCUGAUGGAGCAAUGCCGCGUGAGUGAAGAAGGCCUUCGGAUCGUAAAACUCUGUUAUUAGGGAAGAACAACAGAAGAAGAAAAUACGGAUGUUCUGACGGUACCUAAGCAAUAAGCAACGGCUAACUACGUG
RNAcentral lists this ribosomal RNA (497 nucleotides) under uncultured bacterium. RNAcentral describes it as "partial 16S ribosomal RNA". It matches the Rfam family "Bacterial small subunit ribosomal RNA", at positions 28 to 507 of the family's 1533-position model. The record is from RNAcentral.